UCCUUUCCCCUUCUACAGUGCACAUAGGCGAGAGGGAGGCGACCGCCCACAGCGGGAGAGUGCUUCCUCGCCGGCGGGUUAGCUCCGUCUUGGGGGGCUGUCAUGGCACUCUGAGGAGGUGCAGACCAUGGCUCAACGCCGGUGGGUGGGGAUUAGGUCUUAUGCAGUUUGGGUUUCAUGGCGAGGACGGCGAGGAGGCAGCAUCGUCCUGGUGUAGGAAUAAGGUCUCCCUGCUCCGUUCCCGCUGCUGAUGUGCUCGGAGGAGCGCCGACGAGGAGUAUGUGGAGCUUUUGGCGCGGUGGGCGUCCGGCGCUUCGGCCUUGUGCGGUGGUGUCUGCAUGCCGCGCGGCGAGGAGCCGAAGAUGGUGGCUGUGUCUGUGGUCGACGGCGGCUUGAAGGUUAGGGAUCUGGCCACCUCUUGUGAGGUGGAGCACCGACGAUCCCAGAUACGGGGCGGAUGGAAGUGGACCGCCGACGACCUCAGAUCCGGGCGACUUGAAGGUGAGCGGGAUGACGGCAACGAUGCUGCAGACGACGGCCCAGUAGAAGAGAAGCGCCUCCAACAUCCCGAUGUCCUUCGACACUGCUCGAUUCCAGGUCGUCGAGGGCAAUAUAUGAGAUUGACAUUGACACCGCAUUUGAGGAGAAACCAUGGAAAUACCACGGCGCUAACAUUUCAGAGUUCUUUAACUUUGGGAUUGAUGAAGAGAAAUGGAAAGAAUAUUGCAAGCAAAUUGUCACUACUUGUUUAUAAUAUUUGGUAGCAAUGGCUUUUUUUUCGGCUUCUGUUUUGCCCUUUUGUAAGCUUUGGGUAACCUUUGUCUUACCAAGAUCAACUAAAAGUGGAGUCCACAAUGCAAUCAAGAAUAUGGGUUUACGAGAAUGGGCGCUUAGAACAGGACUACGAUCCAGAUCUGCCACCAGAGCUAGCUGCUGCUGCGACUGGCCAUCACCAUGUUUGGGCACACAGAUUUUAGGGCCCAAGAAGAGUUGUUGCAAGCAUCGGACUAGCAGCGGUACAAAUCUCUCUCACCAAUUAUGUACAGCUUUGGGUGAGCUACGUUGCAUGAUUUGUUUGUUAGUAUAUUCAUGUCGAUGAUGUGCGCAAGGGAAAUCAACUCUUGACUACCUGUAAGAUACAUAAUAGUUCAAGUCAGAGGA
Molecule: long non-coding RNA, 1161 nt
Organism: Lolium rigidum
Lineage: Eukaryota; Viridiplantae; Streptophyta; Magnoliopsida; Poales; Poaceae
Exons: 3
Source: RefSeq, a predicted model, not a curated record